Molecule: ribosomal RNA, 253 nt
Filed under: uncultured bacterium
Lineage: Bacteria
Description: partial 16S ribosomal RNA
Rfam family: Bacterial small subunit ribosomal RNA
Source: RNAcentral
UACGAAGGGUGCUAGCGUUGUUCGGAAUCACUGGGCGUAAAGCGCGCGUAGGCGGCUUUUCAAGUCAGAGGUGAAAGCCUGGAGCUUAACUCCAGAAUUGCCUUUGAAACUGUAGAGCUAGAGUAUUGGAGAGGAGUGCGGAAUACCUAAUGUAGCGGUGAAAUGCGUAGAUAUUAGGUGGAACACCGAUGGCGAAGGCAGCACUCUGGACAAUAACUGACGCUGAGGUGCGAAAGCGUGGGGAGCAAACAGG